CAGUCGCCGCGGUAAUACGAAGGGGGCUAGCGUUGCUCGGAAUCAUUGGGCGUAAAGGGCGCGUAGGCGGACUCUUAAGUCGGGGGUGAAAGCCCAGGGCUCAACCCUGGAAUUGCCUUCGAUACUGGGAGUCCUGAGUUCGGAAGAGGUUGGUGGAACUGCGAGUGUAGGGGUGAAUUUCGUAGAUAUUCGCAAGAACACCAGUGGCGAAGGCGGCCAACUGGUCCGAUACUGACGCUGAGGUGCGAAAGCGUGGGGAGCAAACAGGAUUAGAUACCCGCGUAGUCCCUGUCCUUAUACA
RNAcentral lists this ribosomal RNA (301 nucleotides) under uncultured bacterium. RNAcentral's name for it is "partial 16S ribosomal RNA". It matches the Rfam family "Bacterial small subunit ribosomal RNA", at positions 509 to 809 of the family's 1533-position model. The record is from RNAcentral.